GGCUCAGGAUGAACGCUAGCGGCAGGCCUAAUACAUGCAAGUCGAGGGCAGCACAGGUAGCAAUACUGGGUGGCGACCGGCAAACGGGUGCGGAACACGUACGCAACCUUCCUUUAAGUGGGGAAUAGCCCAGAGAAAAUUUGGAUUAAUACCCCGUAACAUCGUGGUGAGGCAUCUCACUACGAUUAAAGCUGAGGCGCUUAAAGAUGGGCGUGCGUCUGAUUAGGUAGUUGGUGAGGUAACGGCUCACCAAGCCGACGAUCAGUAACUGGCGUGAGAGCGCGACCAGUCACACUGGAACUGAGACACGGUCCAGACUCCUACGGGAGGCAGCAGUGAGGAAUAUUGGUCAAUGGCCGGAAGGCUGAACCAGCCAAGUAGCGUGAAGGAUGAAGGUUCUAUGGAUUGUAAACUUCUUUUAUACGGGAAUAAACCACCUACGUGUAGGUGCUUGUAUGUACCGUAUGAAUAAGCAUCGGCUAACUCCGUG
This 490-nucleotide ribosomal RNA is filed under the name uncultured bacterium. RNAcentral's name for it is "bacterial SSU rRNA". It matches the Rfam family "Bacterial small subunit ribosomal RNA", at positions 21 to 507 of the family's 1533-position model. The record is from RNAcentral.